CGGACAAAUUGAGGCUGCUGCUAUUAUGGAACACAUUUUGGAUGGUAGCUCUUAUGUGAAGGCGCCUCAGAAGCUUCACGAAACGGAUCCUCUUCAAAAACCAAAGCAAGAUCGUUACGCCCUCAGAACAUCACCCCAGUGGCUUGGCCCUCAAAUUGAGGUCAUCCGUUCUGCAACCAAGAUGAUUGAGAGAGAGAUUAACUCAGUGAACGACAACCCUUUGAUUGAUGUUUCAAGAAACAAGGCGUUACACGGUGGCAAUUUCCAGGGCACACCAAUUGGUGUCUCUAUGGACAACGCUAGAUUAGCCCUUGCUUCAAUUGGGAAAUUGAUGUUUGCCCAAUUCUCCGAGCUUGUCAACGAUUACUACAACAACGGGUUGCCAUCUAAUCUGACAGCAGGAAGGAAUCCAAGCUUGGACUAUGGUUUCAAGGGAUCUGAGAUUGCCAUGGCUUCAUACUGUUCAGAACUUCAAUUCUUGGCAAAUCCAGUGACUAACCACGUACAAAGCGCCGAGCAACACAACCAAGAUGUGAACUCCUUGGGCUUAAUCUCAGCUAGAAAAACAGCUGAAGCUGUGGACAUCUUAAAGCUAAUGUCAUCCACAUAUCUAGUCGCACUUUGCCAAGCGAUAGACUUGAGGCAUUUGGAAGAAAAUCUGAGGAAUGCAGUCAAGAACACGGUGAGCCAAGUCGCUAAGAGAACCUUGACAAUGGGUGCCAAUGGAGAACUUCAUCCAUCAAGAUUCUGCGAAAAGGACUUGCUUCGAGUCGUGGACAGGGAAUACGUCUUUGCUUACGCUGAUGACGCCUGCAGCGCCAACUACCCACUGAUGCAGAAACUA
RNAcentral lists this long non-coding RNA (844 nucleotides) under Nicotiana tabacum (common tobacco). RNAcentral's name for it is "long non-coding RNA (NTAB_LNC008217)". The record is from RNAcentral. Lineage: Eukaryota; Viridiplantae; Streptophyta; Magnoliopsida; Solanales; Solanaceae.